CACGUAGUUAGCCGGUGCUUCUUCUCCAGGUACCGUCACUUACGCUUCGUCCCUAGCGAAAGGAGUUUACAACCCGAAGGCCUUCAUCCCCCACGCGGCGUCGCUGCAUCAGGCUUGCGCCCAUUGUGCAAUAUUCCCCACUGCUGCCUCCCGUAGGAGUCUGGGCCGUAUCUCAGUCCCAAUGUGGCCGUACACCCUCUCAGGCCGGCUACCCGUCGACGCCUUGGUAGGCCAUUACCCCACCAACAAGCUGAUAGGCCGCGAGCUCAUCCCAUACCGCAAAAGCUUUCCACAACAAUAUCCAAAAAGUUGUCCUAUCCGGUAUUAGACCCAGUUUCCCAAGCUUAUCCCGAAGUACAGGGCAGAUCACCCACGUGUUACUCACCCGUUCGCCACUCGAGUACCAGUGCAAGCACUGGCCUUUCCGUUCGACUUGCAUGUGUUAAGCACGCCGCCAGCGUUCAUCCUGAGCCAGGAUCAAACUCU
This 486-nucleotide ribosomal RNA is filed under the name uncultured Corynebacterium sp. RNAcentral's name for it is "partial 16S ribosomal RNA". Lineage: Bacteria; Bacillati; Actinomycetota; Actinomycetes; Mycobacteriales; Corynebacteriaceae. The record is from RNAcentral.